UGGUGACCUGCGGAGGACAUUAUUGAGUUAUUGUCUAAUUCCUGGUGGCUCUUGCUUGUGCCGUUGGGACGUUUUCCCACACCCUCUUGUGACCACCGGCCUUUGGUUUAUUUUACUGGUAUAUUAUUUUACCCCCUUUAAUGUAAUGAAAUCUUUUUGUGUUAAGCACUUAGGUCCUGGUCUUCAUGACUGAUCUCUUGGCUCUCGCAUCGAUGGUGAAUUCAACAAAUAGGUAUAAGUAAUGUGAUUUGCCCACUUAUUGGAAUCAUCGAAUCUUUGAACACAUCUUGCGUUUUUGUCAUUCCAAAGGGUAUGCACGUUUGAGUGGGUUAUGGGGAUCCACUAUCCAAUGCGCCCGACAGCCCCGGAUUUGGAUGUUGCCUGGUACUUAGUGUGGUGUUCAUCUUAAAUGAAUGAGUGCGACUGUCAGUUAAGCAUACUACGGGGGUAGCAGGGGAUAAUCACUCUUUUCUGUCUGAUUAGGAGGGAUGCCCUUCUAACCUUCUCAUCUCAAUAUAUGAAACUUUCACCUCCGAUCGAGUAGGAUUACCCGCUGAACUUCUCCUCUCAAAAGCGGCGGGAAGAACCUUUGAUCUCAAAUAGGGCGGGGAGUACCCGCUGAACUUAAGCUAUCAAUAAGGGGGAGGGAAG
This 651-nucleotide small RNA is filed under the name Amanita sp. SB3. Its description in RNAcentral is "eukaryotic LSU rRNA". The stretch from base 178 to 330 matches the Rfam family "5.8S ribosomal RNA". The record is from RNAcentral. Lineage: Eukaryota; Fungi; Basidiomycota; Agaricomycetes; Agaricales; Amanitaceae.